UACCAGCACCCCGAGUGGUCGGGACGAUUAUUGGGCCUAAAGCAUCCGUAGCCGGUCCUACAAGUCUUCCGUUAAAUCCACCUGCUUAACAGAUGGGCUGCGGAAGAUACUAUAGGGCUAGGAGGCGGGAGAGGCAAGCGGUACUCAGUGGGUAGGGGUAAAAUCCUCUGAUCCAUUGAAGACCACCAGUGGCGAAGGUGGCUUGCCAGAACGCGCUCGACGGUGAGGGAUGAAAGCUGGGGGGAGCAAAGCCGG
This 255-nucleotide ribosomal RNA is filed under the name uncultured bacterium. RNAcentral's name for it is "partial 16S ribosomal RNA". It matches the Rfam family "Archaeal small subunit ribosomal RNA", at positions 474 to 728 of the family's 1478-position model. The record is from RNAcentral.